UACGUAGGCAGCGAGCGUUGUUCGGAAUUACUGGGCGUAAAGAGUGUGUAGGCGGUGCUCUAAGUCCGCUGUGAAAGUCCAGGGCUCAACCCUGGAAAGCCGGUGGAAACUGUCGAGCUCGAGUCCGGAAGAGGCGAGUGGAAUUCCUGGUGUAGCGGUGAAAUGCGCAGAUAUCAGGAGGAACACCAAUGGCGAAGGCAGCUCGCUGGGACGGUACUGACACUGAGACGCGAAAGCGUGGGGAGCGAACAGG
Molecule: ribosomal RNA, 253 nt
Filed under: uncultured bacterium
Lineage: Bacteria
Description: partial 16S ribosomal RNA
Rfam family: Bacterial small subunit ribosomal RNA
Source: RNAcentral